Non-coding RNA from Nippostrongylus brasiliensis, 72 nucleotides. The record is from Rfam. Lineage: Eukaryota; Metazoa; Nematoda; Chromadorea; Rhabditida; Heligmosomidae.
GCAUCGGUAGCACAGUGGUUAGUGCAAUUUGCCGGAAACAGAUAGACACGGGUUCAAUUCCCGUCCGAUGUC